UACGUAGGGGCCGAGCGUUGUCCGGAGUUAUUGGGCGUAAAGCGCGCGCAGGCGGCCUCGCGCGCCCGACGUGAAAGCCCCCGGCUUAACCGGGGAGGGUCGUUGGGGACGGCGGGGCUUGAGGUCGGUAGAGGGGGGUGGAAUUGCUGGUGUAGCGGUGAAAUGCGUAGAGAUCAGCAGGAACACCCGUGGCGAAGGCGGCCCCCUGGGCCGUACCUGACGCUGAGGCGCGAAGGCUAGGGGAGCGAACGGG
RNAcentral lists this ribosomal RNA (253 nucleotides) under uncultured bacterium. RNAcentral describes it as "partial 16S ribosomal RNA". It matches the Rfam family "Bacterial small subunit ribosomal RNA", at positions 524 to 776 of the family's 1533-position model. The record is from RNAcentral.